RNAcentral lists this signal recognition particle RNA (300 nucleotides) under Saimiri boliviensis boliviensis (Bolivian squirrel monkey). RNAcentral describes it as "Metazoan signal recognition particle RNA (ENSSBOG00000006807.1)". It matches the Rfam family "Metazoan signal recognition particle RNA". Rfam says of the family: The signal recognition particle (SRP) is a universally conserved ribonucleoprotein. It is involved in the co-translational targeting of proteins to membranes. The record is from Rfam by way of RNAcentral. Lineage: Eukaryota; Metazoa; Chordata; Mammalia; Primates; Cebidae.
GCUACAUGUGGUGGCAUGCACCUAUGGUCGUAGACACUUGGGAGGCUGAGGUGGGAGGAUUACUUGAGUCCAAAAGUUCUGGGCUAUAGUGCACUAUGCCGAUCGGGUGUCAGCACUAAGUUCGGCAUCAAUAUGGUGACCUUCCGGGAAUGGGGGACCACCUGGUUGCCAAAGGAGGGGUGAACCGGCCCAGGUUGGUAACAGAUCAGGUCAAAACUCCCAUGCUGAUCUGUAGGAGGAUGGCGCCUGUGAAUAGCCACUGCACUCUAACCUGGGCAACAUAGGGAGACCCUGUCUCCU